This 918-nucleotide ribosomal RNA is filed under the name uncultured bacterium. RNAcentral describes it as "bacterial SSU rRNA". It matches the Rfam family "Bacterial small subunit ribosomal RNA", at positions 27 to 944 of the family's 1533-position model. The record is from RNAcentral.
GGAUGAACGCUAGCGGCAGGCUUAAUACAUGCAAGUCGAACGGUAACAGGGUAGCAAUACCGCUGACGAGUGGCGCACGGGUGCGUAACGCGUAUGCAACUUACCUUUAACUGGAGAAUAGCCCCUCGAAAGAGGGAUUAAUACUCCAUAGUAAUCAGAGAAGGCAUCUUUUUUGGUUUAAAGCUCCGGCGGUUAAAGAUGGGCAUGCGUGACAUUAGCUAGUUGGUGAGGUAACGGCUCACCAAGGCUACGAUGUCUAGGGGUUCUGAGAGGAUGAUCCCCCACACUGGUACUGAGACACGGACCAGACUCCUACGGGAGGCAGCAGUAAGGAAUAUUGGGCAAUGGACGCAAGUCUGACCCAGCCAUGCCGCGUGAAGGAUGACUGCCCUAUGGGUUGUAAACUUCUUUUGUACGGGAAUAAACCCGGGUACGUGUACCCGGCUGAAUGUACCGUAAGAAUAAGGAUCGGCUAACUCCGUGCCAGCAGCCGCGGUAAUACGGAGGAUCCAAGCGUUAUCCGGAUUCAUUGGGUUUAAAGGGUGCGUAGGCGGAUUUGUAAGUCAGUGGUGAAAUCCUACAGCUUAACUGUAGAACUGCCAUUGAUACUGCAGGUCUUGAGUACAUUUGAUGUGGGCGGAAUGUGUCAUGUAGCGGUGAAAUGCUUAGAUAUGACACAGAACACCGAUUGCGAAGGCAGCUCACAAAACUGUAACUGACGCUGAGGCACGACAGCGUGGGGAUCAAACAGGAUUAGAUACCCUGGUAGUCCACGCCGUAAACUAUGAUCACUCGAUGUUGGCGAUAUACAGCCAGCGUCUAAGCUAAAGGCAUUAAGUGAUCCACCUGGGGAGUACGGUCGCAAGAUUGAAACUCGAAAGGAAUUGACGGGGGCCCGCACAAGCGGAGAGCAUGUGU